CGAACGGGUGAGUAAUGCGUGACCAACCUGCCCCAUGCUCCAGAAUAGCUCUUGGAAACGGGUGGUAAUGCUGGAUGCUCCAACUUGACGCAUGUCUUGUUGGGAAAGUGUUUAGUGGCAUGGGAUGGGGUCGCGUCCUAUCAGCUUGUAGGCGGGGUAAUGGCCCACCUAGGCUUCGACGGGUAGCCGGCCUGAGAGGGCGGACGGCCACAUUGGGACUGAGAUACGGCCCAGACUCCUACGGAGGCAGCAGCC
This 255-nucleotide ribosomal RNA is filed under the name uncultured Gardnerella sp. RNAcentral describes it as "partial 16S ribosomal RNA". It matches the Rfam family "Bacterial small subunit ribosomal RNA", at positions 99 to 355 of the family's 1533-position model. The record is from RNAcentral. Lineage: Bacteria; Bacillati; Actinomycetota; Actinomycetes; Bifidobacteriales; Bifidobacteriaceae.